GUCGCAUGAAGGCAACAUAAAAAAUAAGGAGAAACGGCGCCUAGCGCACACGCGACGAAGAGGGUGGUCAGACACACACCCAGAGACAAACAGCAAGGGCCCCUGCACUCCUGCGCACAAAGAUACAGAAAAGGACACCGUUCUCGUGGCUAAUCUGUUGCGUCCGAUGGCUUGUCAAACUGAAGGCACUGCCAGAAAAUGCUUCUCUCGUGGCAGAACAAAAGUCAGUUCCCAGUUUCUCCCGUCGGCAGAACCGCCGCAGGGCGCAGACGCCAUCAAAACGAAGAAACGGUUUUCUGUUCGUUCCGCGUUGUUCGGCUUUCACGGGAAUGGUGACUCUGAAGCGGCUUCCCGAGGUAGGCUGAGGACCUGUCAAGACGAGGAUGUAAAUUCGUUCAUGUAACUCAGAGCAACUUUCACGCUGCCUCUGGUGUCUGUCGUGUCGCUCAAGGAAGAUUUGAUUCUGUUUACCACAUCAGGAAUGUAAACGCGUUCACCGUAACCGUCGCGCCGUCUCGAUUCUCAUAUUCGAAGAUUGUACUUUUUAAAACAGCUUUAGAUAACAUGUGAAGAGUCGGACCAACAUGGGACUCCUACGACUCUAUAAAUUAUUUUUUUCUCGGCAGUAUAUACUACGAGUUGGACUACUGGUUUGAAUCUCGUCUCACAGUGAGUCGAGCACGCAAAUGUGGUGGCGGCAAGCAAAGAACACUUCCCUUCGGCGGCUGUGGAGGUUCAUCAACUCCACUCUCACGGGAAGGGAAGGAGGAAAAAGUGGGCAAGAAGCGACACACGGUUUCUCCGCUUAUUUGGAGGCGGCAGUUCGAAUGACGGGAAGCGAUGAUGCUGCCAGACAGCGCCUUGAAGUUGCGAAUUGAAAGAAAUUCUACGGGGAAGGUGGAACGGAGAAUGCUGGGAAGGCUCCAGUUGAGGGCAAGACACAAGUGAGGAAAACGCUUGUGGGCUGUCCCCGCUAUCCAGCGACAAGUGUUGGAUUUCCAGAUCCGCAGAAGCCUUCUUCUCAAGCUACUCAGAUCUACGCACCCAUAUAUAUGUGAAGAAAUAUAAGCAAAAUCGUCAUGGUCCGAAUACCGGCUGUGCACCAAGGUUAGGGUAGCUUGUCUGUCCGAUUCUCUAUUCUCAAUUCGGAAGCUGUUUCCCGAAGAACGGAUGGGAUCUUCGAUUGCCGAGUACUACUGGGUUCCGUGUUAGUUCAGGUUUUCUUGCACGUGGCAUGUGCGGAUAAUACUCGACUCAUCUCUAGAUCAUUCCAUGAGAGCACACAGCCCUUCCCCUUAUUCAAGGUAUACAGAGAUCUGCCUGCGUAUACAGUCAACGUAGACUGCCGAGAUUUGAAACGCAAUGUGGUUCCCUCGUUAAGAGACCACAGAAGGGUAAGGACGAUGUGCACUGUCGAGAAGAAGACCCAUGCGCUUCCGGAAGUUGACUUUCCUUGCCCUUUCCCGUUAACUCUGACGACGCGCGGCGGUCACGCGAGUUUGUGUUCUUCCCCCGGACUGCGCGUUGCUCGUGGACCUUCGUGGACGUUUAUUUUCAUUAAUGGAUUGGGCAAGAGAACCACGGAGAGGUAUAAGCGACUCUGCUGCCUACUCAACUAUGUUGCUACCUUAGUUGUACCUUGACACCAAAAUGUGUGCGCAUGCGUGUGAGCGCAUACGCAUCAAGAAAAGGAAAGAGGGCUGGUUUCUCGCUGCGAACCGACAGCCAGACGCGCACAUGCUUGCCGUAAGAGUUCUUUUUCAAUCUCUGAAACGGGGACAAAAUGCGAGAGAAAGAGACACAUGUCUGCAUCUCUGCUCCUCUACUUCGUCUUGUCAGGCAUGUUUAGCCGAUGCCGAGGAGUUUCAGAAGUUUUCAAAGUACAACAGAAACGUCUUCUGCACGAAGACGAAGCUCUGGCGUCCAUCCACACCAUUUUCACUGUGCUGAGUUCCUUCUUCUUCAUGUCCCUCGCUCUGCCUGUCCAGUUCUCUUGCGACGUCGCCACGCGCUCCGUUCUGUCCAUCUGUUUUUUCCGGUGUGCUCAGCUCGUUCCAUCCCGCACGCUGCCAACUCGGGAGACGUGAUAAAGAACAGAAUUCCUAGACCGUACGCGUGUGUGUGCCCCCCCCCCUCCGCGCCAAAGCAAUAGUUACGAAACAUCCCUGUCGAAAAACGCUUGCGAAUCUCGCAACGGCAGCAUGCGAAAAUGAACCCCAGCUGUUGACGGCUCCUGUCUCCUUGCCACCUUGUCCCCAUCAUUUGUCCACCGUUUCUGGACAAAAGGAUUCGAGGAGCUCGCUUUCACACUAGGAUGCAGACCCUUAAGACUUUUUCACAUCUUUCACUGUUGCAGUGACGACUGCCCGUCUGUCUCCCCUUUUCUCCCACGGCCGGUCUCCGUCUCGCUUUUGAGAAUUCCGUUCUUCCUCCACUUGACACGACUCGUCCUGGAGUUCCACCACUCCCUUCACCGCCUGGCGACAUGUCGGGCACCUUCCAUUCCUGCAGAAAAAGCCCGAUAAAGAACGAGUAUUCGUCAGCGGUCUUCUGCCUGCAAGUGUUUUGCAGCACGCAAUUCCACCCGAGGUGUGCUCAGCCCUCACUUGUUUGCUUCUCUCCGAAACGACUCCGUUAGCUCCUUUUCAAGACCCGCAGUAGACCCCCAGUGUGCACCCGCGCGGCUCUACAUAGAUGGAUGCGUACGCAUGUUUUCUUAUAUUUGCACACCACUGGAUGCACAUGAGCACGAGAUGGUCAUCGCACAGUGAUUUCG
Molecule: long non-coding RNA, 2776 nt
Filed under: Toxoplasma gondii VEG
Lineage: Eukaryota; Apicomplexa; Conoidasida; Eucoccidiorida; Sarcocystidae
Source: RNAcentral